UACGUAUGUCGCGAGCGUUAUCCGGAAUUAUUGGGCAUAAAGGGCAUCUAGGCGGCAUAUCAAGUCAGGGGUGGAAACUUACGGCUCAACCGUGAGCUUGCCUUUGAAACUGAUAUACUAGAGUGUUGGAGAGGUGGGCGGAACUACACGAGUAGAGGUGAAAUUCGUAGAUAUGUGUAGGAAUGCCGAUGAUGAAGAUAGCUCACUGGACGACAACUGACGCUGAAGUGCGAAAGCUAGGGGAGCAAACAGGAUUAGAUACCCUGGUAGUCCUAGCUGUAAACGAUGAUCACUGGGUGUGGGCAUGAAGAGUGUCUGUGCCGAAGCAAAUGCGAUAAGUGAUCCGCCUGGGGAGUACGACCGCAAGGUUGAA
RNAcentral lists this ribosomal RNA (373 nucleotides) under uncultured bacterium. RNAcentral's name for it is "bacterial SSU rRNA". It matches the Rfam family "Bacterial small subunit ribosomal RNA", at positions 524 to 898 of the family's 1533-position model. The record is from RNAcentral.